This 224-nucleotide non-coding RNA is filed under the name Strix occidentalis caurina (northern spotted owl). Its description in RNAcentral is "Small Cajal body-specific RNA 2 (ENSSOCG00000005986.1)". It matches the Rfam family "Small Cajal body-specific RNA 2", at positions 96 to 420 of the family's 420-position model. The record is from RNAcentral. Lineage: Eukaryota; Metazoa; Chordata; Aves; Strigiformes; Strigidae.
NNNNNCGUGUGCGUGUGCGUGCGCGUGCGGGUGUGCGUGGGCGCGCCAGCCCCCCCUUUCCCCUACACGUUGAUCUUAUUCGAUCGGCCGGGCCGGGCCGGGCCGAGGUGAGAAAAAUGGCGCCGCGAAGCCCGCGGGCGGUGUGCGGCGGCCGGCGGCGGGCGGGAUGAGUCGAUCAGAUAGGCGAGGCCGCGGCCGCUGAGCGCCCUGCGAUUCUGACCCGC